UUCGAAACUGGCAGGCUUGAGUCUUGUAGAGGGGGGUAGAAUUCCAGGUGUAGCGGUGAAAUGCGUAGAGAUCUGGAGGAAUACCGGUGGCGAAGGCGGCCCCCUGGACAAAGACUGACGCUCAGGUGCGAAAGCGUGGGGAGCAAACAGGAUUAGAUACCCUGGUAGUCCACGCCGUAAACGAUGUCUACUUGGAGGUUGUGCCCUUGAGGCGUGGCUUCCGGAGCUAACGCGUUAAGUAGACCGCCUGGGGAGUACGGCCGCAAGGUUAAAACUCAAAUGAAUUGACGGGGGCCCGCACAAGCGGUGGAGCAUGUGGUUUAAUUCGAUGCAACGCGAAGAACCUUACCUGGUCUUGACAUCCACAGAAGAAUCCAG
Molecule: ribosomal RNA, 378 nt
Filed under: Salmonella enterica subsp. enterica serovar Corvallis
Lineage: Bacteria; Pseudomonadati; Pseudomonadota; Gammaproteobacteria; Enterobacterales; Enterobacteriaceae
Description: bacterial SSU rRNA
Rfam family: Bacterial small subunit ribosomal RNA
Source: RNAcentral